GAUGAACGCUAGCUACAGGCUUAACACAUGCAAGUCGAGGGGAAACGACAUCGAAAGCUUGCUUUUGAUGGGCGUCGACCGGCGCACGGGUGAGUAACGCGUAUCCAACCCGCCCACCACUUGGGGAUAACCUUGCGAAAGUAAGACUAAUACCCAAUGAUAUCUCUAGAAGACAUCUGAAAGGGAUUAAAGAUUUAUCGGUGAUGGAUGGGGAUGCGUCGGAUUAGCUUGUUGGCGGGGUAACGGCCCACCAAGGCUACGAUCAGUAGGGGUUCUGAGAGGAAGGUCCCCCACAUUGGAACUGAGACACGGUCCAAACUCCUACGGGAGGCAGCAGUGAGGAAUAUUGGUCAAUGGACGGGAGUCUGAACCAGCCAAGUAGCGUGCAGGAUGACGGCCCUAUGUGUUGUAAACUGCUUUUGUAAGGGAAUAAAGUGAGUCUCGUGAGACUUUUUGCAUGUACCUUAUGAAUAAGGACCGGCUAAUUCCGUGCCAGCCGCCGCCGUAA
This 508-nucleotide ribosomal RNA is filed under the name uncultured bacterium. RNAcentral's name for it is "partial 16S ribosomal RNA". It matches the Rfam family "Bacterial small subunit ribosomal RNA", at positions 28 to 523 of the family's 1533-position model. The record is from RNAcentral.